GCGCCUGUAGCUCAGGUGGAUAGAGCAACAGCCUUCUAAGCUGUGGGUCAGGGGUUCGAAUCCCUUCAGGCGCG
Molecule: non-coding RNA, 74 nt
Organism: Nitrospirae bacterium GWC2_57_9
Lineage: Bacteria; Pseudomonadati; Nitrospirota
Source: Rfam